Molecule: long non-coding RNA, 255 nt
Filed under: Nicotiana benthamiana
Lineage: Eukaryota; Viridiplantae; Streptophyta; Magnoliopsida; Solanales; Solanaceae
Description: long non-coding RNA (NBEN_LNC001420)
Source: RNAcentral
GACAACGGUAAGACCAAGGUUUGCACCUAUAAAUACAGCUUCAACUCAGUGUUUUCACAACAACAACAUACACUAAUUGAUCAUUACAUUGCUUUAAGCUUUCAUUCAAUUGUUCAUCACUUUCUACUCAUUUCAUAAAGCUUUUGAGAGCCAUUUUAUUGUUCAAAGUUGUUGUGAUCUUGAGCGUAUUACUUUACUCAUAUCUACUCAUCAAGGAGUACAUUUGUUAAGUGAGUGUUCAAGUAUUUCAAAUAC